UAACCCAUGCAAGUCGAGCGGAAACGAGUUAUCUGAACUUUCGGGGAAACGAUAACGGCGUCGAGCGGCGGACGGGUGAGUAAUGCCUAGGAAAUUGCCCUGAUGUGGGGGAUAACCAUUGGGAAACGAUGGCUAAUACCGCAUAAUGCCUACGGGCCAAAGAGGGGGACCUUCGGGGCCUUCUCGCGUCAGGAUAUGCCUAGGUGGGAUUAGCUAGUUGGUGAGGUAAGGGCUCACCAAGGCGACGAUCCCUAGCUGGUCUGAGAGGAUGAUCAGCCACACUGGAACUGAGACACGGUCCAGACUCCUACGGGAGGCAGCAGUGGGGAAUAUUGCACAAUGGGCGCAAGCCUGAUGCAGCCAUGCCGCGUGUGUGAAGAAGGCCUUCGGGUUGUAAAGCACUUUCAGUCGUGAGGAAGGUAGUGUAGUUAAUAGCUGCAUUAUUUGACGUUAGCGACAGAAGAAGCACCGGCUAACUCCGUGCCAGCAGCCGCGGUAAUACGGAGGGUGCGAGCGUUAAUCGGAAUUACUGGGCGUAAAGCGCAUGCAGGUGGUUUGUUAAGUCAGAUGUGAAAGCCCGGGGCUCAACCUCGGAAUAGCAUUUGAAACUGGCAGACUAGAGUACUGUAGAGGGGGGUAGAAUUUCAGGUGUAGCGGUGAAAUGCGUAGAGAUCUGAAGGAAUACCGGUGGCGAAGGCGGCCCCCUGGACAGAUACUGACACUCAGAUGCGAAAGCGUGGGGAGCAAACAGGAUUAGAUACCCUGGUAGUCCACGCCGUAAACGAUGUCUACUUGGAGGUUGUGGCCUUGAGCCGUGGCUUUCGGAGCUAACGCGUUAAGUAGACCGCCUGGGGAGUACGGUCGCAAGAUUAAAACUCAAAUGAAUUGACGGGGGCCCGCACAAGCGGUGGAGCAUGUGGUUUAAUUCGAUGCAACGCGAAGAACCUUACCUACUCUUGACAUCCAGAGAACUUUCCAGAGAUGGAUUGGUGCCUUCGGGAACUCUGAGACAGGUGCUGCAUGGCUGUCGUCAGCUCGUGUUGUGAAAUGUUGGGUUAAGUCCCGCAACGAGCGCAACCCUUAUCCUUGUUUGCCAGCGAGUAAUGUCGGGAACUCCAGGGAGACUGCCGGUGAUAAACCGGAGGAAGGUGGGGACGACGUCAAGUCAUCAUGGCCCUUACGAGUAGGGCUACACACGUGCUACAAUGGCGCAUACAGAGGGCGGCCAACUUGCGAAAGUGAGCGAAUCCCAAAAAGUGCGUCGUAGUCCGGAUUGGAGUCUGCAACUCGACUCCAUGAAGUCGGAAUCGCUAGUAAUCGUGGAUCAGAAUGCCACGGUGAAUACGUUCCCGGGCCUUGUACACACCGCCCGUCACACCAUGGGAGUGGGCUGCAAAAGAAGUAGGUAGUUUAACCUUCGGGGGGACGCUUACCACUUUGUGGUUCAUGACUGGGGUGAAGUCGUAACAAGGUAGCGCUAGGGGAACCUGGCGCUGGAUCACCUCCUUA
RNAcentral lists this ribosomal RNA (1509 nucleotides) under Vibrio parahaemolyticus. RNAcentral's name for it is "16S ribosomal RNA". It matches the Rfam family "Bacterial small subunit ribosomal RNA". The record is from RNAcentral. Lineage: Bacteria; Pseudomonadati; Pseudomonadota; Gammaproteobacteria; Vibrionales; Vibrionaceae.